This 640-nucleotide ribosomal RNA is filed under the name uncultured eukaryote. RNAcentral's name for it is "eukaryotic LSU rRNA". The stretch from base 214 to 368 matches the Rfam family "5.8S ribosomal RNA". The record is from RNAcentral.
UCCGUAGGUGAACCUGCGGAAGGAUCAUUUACACGAUGUCCAACAUUUCAAACCAGAAUCUUACUGUGAGGACCUCAUUGGGUGAAAAUCUGAUGAGGACUUCAAAGGUGGGGCUUCACACUGCCUCGGCGAGGUGAAGCCCUGCCACCUUUAAACCCUUUGCAACUUCACUAGAAUUGUUAACGCGAUUUCUUUACGAAAUCUUUAUAUCACAACUUUUAGCGAUGGAUGCCUCGGCUCGGGUAACGAUGAAGGACGCAGCAAAAUGCGAUAAGCGCCGUGAAUGGCAGAAUUCCGUGAAUCAAGAGAACGCUGAACGCAUACUGCACUUUUAGGUUACUCCUGAAAGUAUGUCUGUUUCAGGGCGAUAAUGCUUAAAUGCUCUCAAUAUUCAUAUUGCGUGUUGACGCAUGUGAGCUUGGGACGCGUUGUUGUGCGUCAGUGCAUUGGCUCUCGCCCACUGACGCAUUAAAUUGAAGUCUAUUUCUCAGCAAACUUUCGCUGCUUGGUUUUUUAAAUCUCCUAGCGAAAGUGAUGCAGACGAAUGCCUUCUUUCUACUUUUUGCAGAUUAACUUCUGCAAUUGUUGCUUUUCGCAUGAAAUUAGACAAGGCUACCCGCUGAAUUUAAGCAUAUCAAUA